AUGAAGUACAUUCAGCCAGACGAGUGUGAAAGAAGUGUUCAUGAAUCAGAUCACAAAAUACCUCAACUCCAGGAGACCCAGUUGCCCCGACCAGAUGAGCCUUUAGACGAGACCAACCUGAAUGGGUCCAAACCAAAAGUUCCUAUUGAGUCAUUGUCCCACAGCCAGUGGCAGCGCAGCUCUGACCUGACUCCUGAGGCCUGGCAGCAGCAGGUGGACCAACAGCUCCAACAGCAAGAAACCGAGCAGCAGGCAGAGUCUUGGGGCAACCGCAACCUUCCUCAUCACGGUUCACACCAAUCUGACUCCGUCUUUAAAGACAGCAAAACCUUGAUAAUAAAAAACGUGAAGCUCACGACCACAAUAGAAACUAUCCUGAAAGCCUUGGACCCCUUUGCAUAUCUGGAUGAAAGGAAUGUUCGCCUUGUCAAGGCCAAGCCACCAGGAGCCAAGUGUUUCUGCUUUGUUGACAUGGACUCCCAUGAGCAAGUCACACGUCUGGUUGAGCUCCUCACUAAACCCAGACCCCUUUAUAUCGAUGGAGUCAGAGUUUAUGCCGAGGUGGCAAAACCUCUGAAGAACCAAAAUUUCAGAAGAGACUUUGAUAAACCAAACAGUUCCAUCCUUGGGAUUCCCCCUGAGCCCAGCAUAAUGGGGCAGCCGUUCCCACAACCUCCACAGUAUUUGCAACCUCUGCAGCCACCCGCUAGUGCCUCCGCCGGAAUGCAAGGUGAUUUGACUAUUACUACUACUACUAAUCCUGCUCUGUCAGCUCUAUCGGCUCUGUCAUCAGACCCCAGCAUUGGACAGGGAGUUUGCUUAAGCGAGACUCCAGCUGUGGAUCCGUCGUUCCAGGCUAGUGGACCCCAUGUGCCCACAGAAUCAGCUGCAACGACCGCAGACGGAUCGCAGCCCUACAUCUAUGGUGAGGAACAUAUCAAGCAUGACACCAACCCAGUCGCUGCAAGUAACAUGUAAUCAAAUGAUAUGAAAUUAUUUAUUGAUUAAAGAUGAGUUUGGGUUUUACA
RNAcentral lists this long non-coding RNA (1028 nucleotides) under Cottoperca gobio. RNAcentral describes it as "lncRNA (ENSCGOG00000001888.1)". The record is from RNAcentral. Lineage: Eukaryota; Metazoa; Chordata; Actinopteri; Perciformes; Bovichtidae.